UACAUCAGUUUUCUGAUACUUAAGCAACCAACCCGGAACUGUUUCUCUCAUUAGUAAGCGAGAUUUUGGGUUUCAUCCUAAUUAACCUGGUACAACAGCAUCCUUCCGCAAUGAAGCUAUUAGCUUACAUACUUCUGUUUGCACUUCUUGCCCUGUCGGGAAAGAUGGUAGCGGCCAAGCUUGAAAGCUAUGAUAAUCUGAAACCGCACGAGAACUUGGUUCGUCGAUGCACUGGUGCUCCUCCGCGUGAAGACGGGCAAUAAUUCGCCUCGAGAAUUUUCUAACACUGAAUUACUUCACGAUACAAGCAGCCAGAUUGAUUUGACCAACGUCAGGCCAACGUUUGAAUUGACAGUAAAGUUUCAUUAAAUAAAGUUAUUGGAAUUUUUAAUUAUUUUUUUUCAUUUAAAUAAUUGCUAGUACAAUGUAGGCUCCAUGAAUUUAAAAAUACUGUUGAUUUUACUAUUUUCAAUCUUUAUUUCACUUUCAGAGUCUAAAACAUUAACCAGAUAUGAGCAGUACAUUGACAUGUGUCAGUUGAGAAUACUUUGUGGUCGAUAACAAUUUUGCAGGGUUUUGCUAUCAAGCGUUUAGCUCUGCGCCAUUGGUUACUCGCGACUGCAUCUCGCUUAUCAACAAUUAGCAAGUGAGUUGUUAUCUUCUAUCUUAUGUGAACGAUUGUUUAUUCAUCUGUGUUGUUUAACUAAAUUUCAUUCAACAUUGUUUAACUAAACAUGAGCUUUAUUUUCCACUACUCAUUCGUCAAAGAAAAUCACCUUUCAACCGAAACUAUUCGUAACGAAAACAAAUAUAUAAUCAAUUCCGAACACAACUGCUAUACCUGCUUCAGUUUUCUGCUACUUAAGCAACCAACAUUUCUGUUCUCUGGUACUGGAACUGUUUCAGAAUGAAAUUAUUUGCUGAGCUACUUCUUUUUGCAUCACUCGUCCUGUUAGGAUUAGUGAGUGCGGAAAUGGUUACAAAAACACCCUGCCUAGAACCAUGCAAAGACUUGGAUACUCCUUAUCUGCGAAUAAAGCAUUUGUCGAGUAACUAGACCAAAAUCGCCCGAUUGUACUUAUUUUAGUGUGUGCUUAAUUCAGACAUGUAUAUUUUUACACUAUCCCACAUACAUUAAAGCAGAAAAAGAGCGGGUUAGAGAUAGUUAGAGAGAAAGAGAAUGAGUUAGAAAGAAAGAGAAAGCAAGGAAAAUGAAUAUAGAGUUAUCUGCUCAUUUUUAAACGUCAAGAUCAUUCUUAACGAUCAAAACCUUAAAGGUACUAAACGAAAC
Molecule: long non-coding RNA, 1291 nt
Organism: Anopheles stephensi (Asian malaria mosquito)
Lineage: Eukaryota; Metazoa; Arthropoda; Insecta; Diptera; Culicidae
Exons: 3
Source: RefSeq, a predicted model, not a curated record